UACGGAGGAUGCGAGCGUUAUCCGGAUUUAUUGGGUUUAAAGGGUGCGCAGGCGGCCUGUUAAGUCAGCGGUAAAAGCCCGGGGCUCAACCCCGGCGAGCCGUUGAAACUGGCGGGCUGGAGUUGGAGAGAAGUAUGCGGAAUGCGCGGUGUAGCGGUGAAAUGCAUAGAUAUCACGCAGAACCCCGAUUGCGAAGGCAGCAUACCGGCGCCCUACUGACGCUGAGGCACGAAAGCGUGGGGAGCAAAUAGG
This 252-nucleotide ribosomal RNA is filed under the name uncultured Bacteroidales bacterium. Its description in RNAcentral is "partial 16S ribosomal RNA". It matches the Rfam family "Bacterial small subunit ribosomal RNA", at positions 524 to 776 of the family's 1533-position model. The record is from RNAcentral. Lineage: Bacteria; Pseudomonadati; Bacteroidota; Bacteroidia; Bacteroidales.